GACGAACGCUUGCGGCGUGCUUAACACAUGCAAGUCGAACGGAAAGGCCCUGCUUUUGUGGGGUGCUCGAGUGGCGAACGGGUGAGUAACACGUGAGUAACCUGCCCUUGACUUUGGGAUAACUUCAGGAAACUGGGGCUAAUACCGGAUAGGAGCUCCUGCUGCAUGGUGGGGGUUGGAAAGUUUCGGCGGUUGGGGAUGGACUCGCGGCUUAUCAGCUUGUUGGUGGGGUAGUGGCUUACCAAGGCUUUGACGGGUAGCCGGCCUGAGAGGGUGACCGGCCACAUUGGGACUGAGAUACGGCCCAGACUCCUACGGGAGGCAGCAGUGGGGAAUAUUGCACAAUGGGCGGAAGCCUGAUGCAGCAACGCCGCGUGCGGGAUGACGGCCUUCGGGUUGUAAACCGCUUUCGCCUGUGACGAAGCGUGAGUGACGGUAAUGGGUAAAGAAGCACCGGCUAACUACGUGCCAGCAGCCGCGGUGAUACGUAGGGUGCGAGCGUUGUCCGGAUUUAUUGGGCGUAAAGGGCUCGUAGGUGGUUGAUCGCGUCGGAAGUGUAAUCUUGGGGCUUAACCCUGAGCGUGCUUUCGAUACGGGUUGACUUGAGGAAGGUAGGGGAGAAGGAAUUUCCUGGGGAAGCGGGGGAAUGCGCAGAUAUCAGGAGGGACCCCCAGUGGCGAAGGCGGUUCUUUGGGCCCCACCCGACGCAGAGGAGCGAAAGCGUGGGGAGCGAACAGGCUUAGAUACCCUGGUAGUCCACGCUGUAAACGGUGGGUCCCAGGUGUGGGGUCCAUUCCACGGGUUCCGUGCCGUAGCUAACGCUUUAAGUACCCCGCCUGGGGAGUACGGCCGCAAGGCUAAAACUCAAAGGAAUUGACGGGGCCCCGCACAAGCGGCGGAGCAUGCGGAUUAAUUCGAUGCAACGCGUAGAACCUUACCUGGGUUUGACAUGGAUCGGGAGCGCUCAGAGAUGGGUGUGCCUCUUUUGGGGUCGGUUCACAGGUGGUGCAUGGCUGUCGUCAGCUCGUGUCGUGAGAUGUUGGGUUAAGUCCCGCAACGAGCGCAACCCUUGUUCACUGUUGCCAGCACGUUAUGGUGGGGACUCAGUGGAGACCGCCGGGGUCAACUCGGAGGAAGGUGGGGAUGACGUCAAGUCAUCAUGCCCCUUAUGUCCAGGGCUUCACGCAUGCUACAAUGGCUGGUACAGAGAGUGGCGAGCCUGUGAGGGUGAGCGAAUCUCGGAAAGCCGGUCUCAGUUCGGAUUGGGGUCUGCAACUCGACCUCAUGAAGUCGGAGUCGCUAGUAAUCGCAGAUCAGCAACGCUGCGGUGAAUACGUUCCCGGGGCU
RNAcentral lists this ribosomal RNA (1347 nucleotides) under uncultured bacterium. Its description in RNAcentral is "bacterial SSU rRNA". It matches the Rfam family "Bacterial small subunit ribosomal RNA", at positions 28 to 1381 of the family's 1533-position model. The record is from RNAcentral.